RNAcentral lists this ribosomal RNA (592 nucleotides) under Escherichia coli. RNAcentral describes it as "partial 23S ribosomal RNA". It matches the Rfam family "Bacterial large subunit ribosomal RNA", at positions 419 to 1011 of the family's 2925-position model. Lineage: Bacteria; Pseudomonadati; Pseudomonadota; Gammaproteobacteria; Enterobacterales; Enterobacteriaceae. The record is from RNAcentral.
GGGACACGUGGUAUCCUGUCUGAAUAUGGGGGGACCAUCCUCCAAGGCUAAAUACUCCUGACUGACCGAUAGUGAACCAGUACCGUGAGGGAAAGGCGAAAAGAACCCCGGCGAGGGGAGUGAAAAAGAACCUGAAACCGUGUACGUACAAGCAGUGGGAGCACGCUUAGGCGUGUGACUGCGUACCUUUUGUAUAAUGGGUCAGCGACUUAUAUUCUGUAGCAAGGUUAACCGAAUAGGGGAGCCGAAGGGAAACCGAGUCUUAACUGGGCGUUAAGUUGCAGGGUAUAGACCCGAAACCCGGUGAUCUAGCCAUGGGCAGGUUGAAGGUUGGGUAACACUAACUGGAGGACCGAACCGACUAAUGUUGAAAAAUUAGCGGAUGACUUGUGGCUGGGGGUGAAAGGCCAAUCAAACCGGGAGAUAGCUGGUUCUCCCCGAAAGCUAUUUAGGUAGCGCCUCGUGAAUUCAUCUCCGGGGGUAGAGCACUGUUUCGGCAAGGGGGUCAUCCCGACUUACCAACCCGAUGCAAACUGCGAAUACCGGAGAAUGUUAUCACGGGAGACACACGGCGGGUGCUAACGUCCGUCGU